Molecule: unclassified non-coding RNA, 231 nt
Filed under: fungal sp.
Lineage: Eukaryota; Fungi
Description: partial internal transcribed spacer region
Rfam family: Eukaryotic small subunit ribosomal RNA (bases 1-48)
Source: RNAcentral
AAAAGUCGUAACAAGGUUUCCGUAGGUGAACCUGCGGAAGGAUCAUUAUUGAAAUAGAAGACCCACUCGUUGGGCUUCAACCUUUCAAAUUCAAACACUUUGUGCACUGUCGAGAUGAACGUCAUUGUCCUUGUGGCAUGGCUACUAGUCUUACAUUCCAUCAAAACACAAGUCAACGCAUGUAUUAUACAUAUAAUAAUAAAACUUUCAACAACGGAUCUCUUGGCUCCC